Molecule: ribosomal RNA, 253 nt
Filed under: uncultured bacterium
Lineage: Bacteria
Description: partial 16S ribosomal RNA
Rfam family: Bacterial small subunit ribosomal RNA
Source: RNAcentral
UACGUAUGGUGCAAGCGUUAUCCGGAUUUACUGGGUGUAAAGGGAGCGUAGGCGGCGCGUUAAGUCUGAUGUGAAAACCCGAGGCCCAACCACGGGAGUGCAUUGGAAACUGGCGGGCUGGAGUGCCGGAGAGGUAAGCGGAAUUCCUAGUGUAGCGGUGAAAUGCGUAGAUAUUAGGAGGAACACCAGUGGCGAAGGCGGCUUACUGGACGGCAACUGACGCUGAGGCUCGAAAGCGUGGGGAGCAAACAGG